CCUACGGGCGGCAGCAGUGGGGGAUAUUGCACAAUGGGGGAAACCCUGAUGCAGCGACGCCGCGUGGGUGAAGAAGUAUUUCGGUAUGUAAAGCCCUAUCAGCAGGGAAGAAAGAAGACGGUACCUGACUAAGAAGCCCCGGCUAACUACGUGCCAGCAGCCGCGGUAAUACGUAGGGGGCGAGCGUUAUCCGGAUUCACUGGGUGUAAAGGGAGCGUAGACGGCCGUGCAAGCCAGGAGUGAAAGCCCGGGGCCAACCCCCGGGACUGCUCUUGGAACUGUGGGGCUGGAGUGCGGGAGGGGCAGGCGGAAUUCCUGGUGUAGGGGUGAAAUGCGUAGAUAUCAGGAGGAACACGGGCGGGGAGGGCGGCCUGCUGGACCGGGACUGAGGUUGAGGCGCGAAAGCGUGGGGAGCGAACAGGAUUAGAUCCCCCAGUAGUC
Molecule: ribosomal RNA, 441 nt
Filed under: uncultured bacterium
Lineage: Bacteria
Description: partial 16S ribosomal RNA
Rfam family: Bacterial small subunit ribosomal RNA
Source: RNAcentral